CCUACGUGCGGCAGCAGUGGGGAAUAUUGGACAAUGGGCGAAAGCCUGAUCCAGCCAUGCCGCGUGUGUGAAGAAGGCCUUCGGGUUGUAAAGCACUUUCAGUGGGGAAGACAGCCUUGGGGCUAAUACCCUCGAGGAAGGACAUCACCCACAGAAGAAGCACCGGCUAACUCCGUGCCAGCAGCCGCGGUAAUACGGAGGGUGCGAGCGUUAAUCGGAAUUACUGGGCGUAAAGCGCGCGUAGGCGGUCUGAUAAGCCGGUUGUGAAAGCCCCGGGCUCAACCUGGGAACGGCAUCCGGAACUGUCAGGCUAGAGUGCAGGAGAGGAAGGUAGAAUUCCCGGUGUAGCGGUGAAAUGCGUAGAGAUCGGGAGGAAUACCAGUGGCGAAGGCGGCCUUCUGGACUGACACUGACGCUGAGGUGCGAAAGCGUGGGUAGCAAACAGGAUUAGAUACCCCAGUAGUC
RNAcentral lists this ribosomal RNA (465 nucleotides) under Vreelandella stevensii. RNAcentral describes it as "partial 16S ribosomal RNA". It matches the Rfam family "Bacterial small subunit ribosomal RNA", at positions 338 to 795 of the family's 1533-position model. Lineage: Bacteria; Pseudomonadati; Pseudomonadota; Gammaproteobacteria; Oceanospirillales; Halomonadaceae. The record is from RNAcentral.